This 1470-nucleotide long non-coding RNA is filed under the name Homo sapiens (human). Its description in RNAcentral is "non-protein coding LINC01095:11". Lineage: Eukaryota; Metazoa; Chordata; Mammalia; Primates; Hominidae. The record is from RNAcentral.
AGAAGUUGUCCAGGGCUCCCUGAGGGAGGCCAGCACAAGAGCUCUGCCAUAAAAGGACAUUGGACAGAAGUGAAGAGUCCAAUCAGAAACUCUUUUUGAGAGACUGAACGCAAAGCAUUCAGAGAGUCAGCAGGCUGGAGAGGCCAAGACACACACACGAAGAAGGCAGGACACUCUUCUCCUCCUGCGGUUGGACUCCAGGCUCUAUGACCUUCAAACUCCAGGACUUACACCAGUUGCCCCUGGGCACUCAGGACUUCUGCUUCAGACUGACAGUUGCAGGACAGUGCAGCAUUUUAUUUUAAAGAUACCCCACAACGUAGGUGGCCAGUCCUGCUGCAGGUGCGGUUUCAAGCCUUUGGAGUUUGACCUUCUAGUCCAAGGUCAUUACAGCUGCAGGCAGAGGCUCCCGCGGGGAAAAGAGCAUUUCCUGGGACGCUGGAACUAAAUGAAUGGCCCACUCUCCAGUUCAGCCCUUGCCUCCUUCCCGACACAUAAAGUUCAAGAGCCACGGUCCUGAGUGCAUAGGAACAGCCCCAUCACCCUUCUCCCUCUGGGCAAGCUAGGAGCAGCGGUGCGAGGCUCCAUUUCUUCUUCUCUGCCUCCUGGACCUCAGCCACCUCUGCUCAGGCACAGGCCAGCUGCCCAGGCGUCCUCAUCUGGCGACCAGCUCUGACCGCAGCCCUGGCUUUUUCCCGAUCUCAUCCUUAGGGCAGAUACGCUCCCUUGAUUCUGAGGUCUUUGAACUUGCUGUGAAGCCACACUACCUGCGUCCCAGGGUCUCCAGCUUGCAGAUGGACUGUGGUGGGACUUCUCAGUCACCAAGAUUGAGAGCUGUACUAGCCUGGCAUGCAGACAGCAGCUUUAGAAUCAGAUCUGCCUUCUGGCGGCUUCCCACCUAGGAGCCAUGGGACCUUUGUGAAGUCACCAAUUGUGCUGUGGAUGCUUCAUUUGUGAAGGAGAACAGGACUGCCUUAUGAGGAAACUGAGGUACAGAUGGGAAACUUGCUCAAGUUCACACAGCAAUUAAGUGAUCAAGUCCAAGAGCAAAACCAGGCAGGCUGGCUCCAGAGCUCACGAUAGUCCACCACUGCUUUCCACCAUCACUACGGAAUCAAGUCCAUGAGGAUACUCACCUUAUGUCAGUUGCCUAAGUUGGAAAUUAUAGAAUCUUCAAAUUGGAAGGGACGUUAUCAUCCAAGAUUUCAACUUUCUACUCACUGCAAAAUCCCUUCUGGAACUUCCCAGAUUGAUGAAUUUUCAUCAGCUCUGCUUGAGUACUCCCAGUGACUUGGAAAAAAAACACUGUAAUAUGGAUAUGAAAUAUAAACUGUUCAUGGAUAAAUUAUUGCAUAAUAAAAACAUGCCUAAUGGCUACACUCCCCUAAUAUGUUCAUUUGACUUCCCAGGAUUUAGCAACCAGGGCCUGGAAGGCAGACAAAGGUAACUGGCCCCAUGUGAUAAAAACAG